UCUCUCUCUCUCUGUAGAGGAAGCUGUCAGGAAUGUCAGAGGAGGAAUUGCUGAGUAUCCCAGUGGUUGACAAUGCCGGGAACAAGCGUCAGAGGAACCCUCGCGAUGAGAAACUCACCUCUAUACCAGACAGCUUGUUCUUCAAACACCUGACCACGGGAGACAAGCACACCACGUGGACCCACUGCAGGGGGUGUCUGACUCAGUGAGUAGACAGACGGUGGUGGAUCCUAAAGGUUACCUCACUGACCUCAACUCUAUGAUCCCCACACACGGAGGAGACAUCAGGGGAGUAGCCCCAGAGAAUAAGCACACACACACACACAUUUGGACACACAUUUGUUGCGUAUCUGUAUCUCUGUCUUGUAUUGUUGACUGUCUUUUUGUGUGUGUUUGUGUGUGUGUAUUGAUAUUAAGAAGCCCCCCCCCCCAUCACCACCACCUGGAUCACAUGGGCCAGGCUAGAGGAGGUGACUGGUAAACUACAGAUGACCAGGAACCUCAUCAUGAAGGGCAUCGAUAUGUGUCCAAAGAGUGAGGAUGUGUGGCUGGAGUCUGCCAGGCUGGAGCUAGGGGAUACAGCCAAGGCCGUGGUGGUCUAGGCGUUGUGUCACCUCCCCACGUCUGUACGCAUCUACAUCAGAACUGCUGUGCUAGAGACCGAUGUCAGGGCCAAGAAACAUGUCCUCAGGAAAGGCCUCUUCACUCAAGUGGCUCCACCAUUCCACUGGCCUGCACGACUGUACUAGGCACGGAUCACAAGUUCUCUCUCUCCUUCACUAGGCUCAACAGUGAGCACUAUUACCAUCAGGUAAUGUAUUCUUGGGUUGAGUGUGACAAGGCAGGCAACGUGCCAGGCGGUGAUCCGGGUAUCGGCAUCGAGGAGGAGAGCUGUAAACACACCUGGAUGGAGGACGCAGAGAGCUGUGUGUCCCAUGGGUACUGGAGUGUGCCCGUGUCAUCUAUGCCCACGCCCUGCAGAUGUUCCUCAGAAAAAUGAGUGUGUGGCUCAGGUCAUCUUACUUCGAAAAGAACCAUGGCACCAGGGAGUCUCUGGAGGUUGCAGAGGGUGGUGGCUCACUGUCCCAAAGCUGACGUCCUGUGGCUGGCUGAGAACGUGCCUGCUGCUUGCAGCAUUUUG
Molecule: long non-coding RNA, 1141 nt
Organism: Oncorhynchus tshawytscha (Chinook salmon)
Lineage: Eukaryota; Metazoa; Chordata; Actinopteri; Salmoniformes; Salmonidae
Exons: 6
Source: RefSeq, a predicted model, not a curated record